This 492-nucleotide ribosomal RNA is filed under the name uncultured bacterium. RNAcentral describes it as "partial 16S ribosomal RNA". It matches the Rfam family "Bacterial small subunit ribosomal RNA", at positions 29 to 507 of the family's 1533-position model. The record is from RNAcentral.
AGCGAACGCUGGCGGUAGGCCUAACACAUGCAAGUCGAACGGCAGCACAGUAAGAGCUUGCUCUUACGGGUGGCGAGUGGCGGACGGGUGAGGAAUACAUCGGAAUCUACUUUUUCGUGGGGGAUAACGUAGGGAAACUUACGCUAAUACCGCAUACGACCUACGGGUGAAAGCAGGGGAUCUUCGGACCUUGCGCGAUUGAAUGAGCCGAUGUCGGAUUAGCUAGUUGGCGGGGUAAAGGCCCACCAAGGCGACGAUCCGUAGCUGGUCUGAGAGGAUGAUCAGCCACACUGGAGCUGAGACACGGUCCAGACUCCUACGGGAGGCAGCAGUGGGGAAUAUUGGACAAUGGGCGCAAGCCUGAUCCAGCCAUACCGCGUGGGUGAAGAAGGCCUUCGGGUUGUAAAGCCCUUUUGUUGGGAAAGAAAAGCAGCAGGUUAAUACCCCGCUGUUCUGACGGUACCCAAAGAAUAAGCACCGGCUAACUUCGUG